Molecule: RNase P RNA, 385 nt
Filed under: Thiomicrospira sp.
Lineage: Bacteria; Pseudomonadati; Pseudomonadota; Gammaproteobacteria; Thiotrichales; Piscirickettsiaceae
Description: RNase P RNA component class A
Rfam family: Bacterial RNase P class A
About the family: Ribonuclease P (RNase P) is a ubiquitous endoribonuclease, found in archaea, bacteria and eukarya as well as chloroplasts and mitochondria.
Source: RNAcentral
CAAGUGGGUUGGGCAAUCGCGGAAUGUUUCGGCAUUCGGAGGAAAGUCCGGGCACCAUAGAGCAGGAUGCCAGUUAACGGCUGGGCGGUGUGAGCCGACGGAAAGUGCAACAGAGAAUAGACCGCCGAUGGCGCUUCGGCGCACAGGUAAGGCUGAAACGGCGAGGUAAGAGCUCACCGCGCAACUGGUAACAGUUUGUGGCUAGGUAAACCCCAUCCGGUGCAAGACCAAAUAGGAAAACGCGCUUUCGGGCAGGGUGCGGCUCGCACUUGUUUUCGGGUAGGUUGCUUGAGGAAUGCAGUGAUGUAUCUCCCAGAUGAAUGAUUGCUAACCUCUACGUUAUGCGUAGUGGAAACAGAACCCGGCUUACAGACCCACUUAGUUU